RNAcentral lists this long non-coding RNA (1180 nucleotides) under Astyanax mexicanus (Mexican tetra). Its description in RNAcentral is "lncRNA (ENSAMXG00005015739.1)". The record is from RNAcentral. Lineage: Eukaryota; Metazoa; Chordata; Actinopteri; Characiformes; Acestrorhamphidae.
AUGCACCAUGCCCAUUGGGUCCAGAUGGACUACCGAUGCCUGGCUGCUGGCAGAAGUGAUCAAUCUAACUCAAACCGCAUGGAAUUUGUAAAUAAUGCUUCAUUUUUGUAUUUAUAUUUUUUUUUAAUUGUGCAAAAAGAAAGUCUAUAUGAAUAUAAAUGUGUGUGUGUAUGUAAAUAGAAAAAAAAAGCUCAACGCUCAUGAGGCUCAAGCAUACACACACACACACACACACAGCUGCUUUCACUCACCCUUGUGCGGUCAUGGCAGUGUGUGUCAAGCUUAUAUAGUAUAUAAGUAUAUAUUUUUCAUCAUCUAAGAGACUCUCACACAUGCUUUGCAUGAUCCUCGGAGUGGAUAAGCGUGGAUAUGGAAACGGACUAACUGGGAAAAAGGCAAAGGAAAGGAGUGGAAAAGGAUAAGGAGGAGUGAGGAGGAGAUGAGAGAUGGAGGGAUGAGGAGGAGGACUGGCUCUCGACAUUGGAAACUAGCUGUUUGUCUAUAUGUUUGUAUUCAUCUGAGAACUCAUCACUCAUCAUCAUCAUGCCACCAAACAUCAUGCUACCAAGCUUAAUAUAAGACUAAAGACUGUCUCUACAGGCCAAAACAAGCAUGAAUGUGUAUAUAUAGGCUACAUAUCACGUGGGCGUGGUGUGGUCAGAAAUGCUAUGGCGGCUUCUGCUAAACACUAACUGGCUGUCAGUUUUUUCGCUCACGUCUCUCACAUUGUAUAAUAACAGCAAAUAUUCGUAUCUUUUUGACGUUUUACUUCUUUUUUCUUUGUUGUUGUUUUUUUUGUUCAUCUUCCUAAAGGGAGUCACACCUUGGCUGGUGGCCUGAAAAGUGGAGAUAGUGAUUUAUCUGGAGGUAGAAAACCAGAGAGAGCAAUUGUUGGUUUGCUUUUGCUUUAUUGGCCUUUGUGGCAGCGCCUCUGUUUUUCACUUAAGUGAAUCUUAAGUGACUCCCUGCCUCACGUUCUCAAGAGAACGAGCGACCACCAGUGAACUUUAUGAUAGGGUGAGCGGGAUGAGCAGGAGAAAGGGGCAGCUGCUGUCCAGUCUUCACUUCAAUCAUAAGUAAAGUGGACGACAGAUGGACGGAAACCGCGGUCCCAAUGUGUUUCGAUGCAUGGACCUCACAAUUCCUUGUCUUGAGUGUGGCAAGAGGGUGGGGCUUUCUA